This 246-nucleotide ribosomal RNA is filed under the name uncultured archaeon. Its description in RNAcentral is "partial 16S ribosomal RNA". It matches the Rfam family "Archaeal small subunit ribosomal RNA", at positions 752 to 998 of the family's 1478-position model. The record is from RNAcentral.
ACCCUUUUGUUUGCUUAGGUGUUAGGCAUGGCGCGACCGUGUCUGGUGCCGCAGGGAAGCCGUGAAGCGAGCCACCUGGGAAGUACGGCCGCAAGGCUGAAACUUAAAGGAAUUGGCGGGGGAGCACAACAACGGGUGGAGCCUGCGGUUUAAUUGGACUCAACGCCGGACAACUCACCGGGGACGACAGCAAUAUGUAGGCCAGGCUAAAGACCUUGCCUGAAUCGCUGAGAGGAGGUGCAUGGC